Molecule: ribosomal RNA, 370 nt
Filed under: uncultured organism
Description: partial 16S ribosomal RNA
Rfam family: Bacterial small subunit ribosomal RNA
Source: RNAcentral
GUAGGUGGCAAGCGUUGUCCGGAAUUAUUGGGGCGUAAAGCGCGCGCAGGCGGUUCUUUAAGUCUGAUGUGAAAGCCCACGGCUCAACCGUGAGGUCAUUGGAAACUGAGAACUUGAGUACAGAAGAGGAAAGCGGAAUUCCACGUGUAGCGGUGAAAUGCGUAGAGAUGUGGAGGAACACCAGUGGCGAAGGCGGCUUUCUGGUCUGUAACUGACGCUGAGGCGCGAAAGCGGGGGGAGCAAACAGGAUUAGAUGCCCUGGUAGUCCACGCCGUAAACGAUGAGUGCUAAGUGUUAGGGGGUUUCCGCCCCUUAGUGCUGCAGCUAACGCAUUAAGCACUCCGCCUGGGGAGUACGGCCGCAAAGGCUG